Molecule: transfer RNA, 69 nt
Filed under: Hydromanicus huapingensis
Lineage: Eukaryota; Metazoa; Arthropoda; Insecta; Trichoptera; Hydropsychidae
Description: tRNA-Cys
Source: RNAcentral
AGUUUUAUAAUCUAAUAAAGAUUAAAAGUUGCAACCUUUUAGAUAUAAAUUUAAAAUUUAUUAAGACUU